GGCUGGUCCGAUGGUAGUGGGUUAUCAGAACUUAUUAACAUUAGUGUCACUAAAGUUGGUAUACAACCCUCCAUGGCUAAAUUUGACUGGCUUAAA
RNAcentral lists this Y RNA (96 nucleotides) under Carlito syrichta (Philippine tarsier). Its description in RNAcentral is "Y RNA (ENSTSYG00000029821.1)". It matches the Rfam family "Y RNA". Rfam says of the family: Y RNAs are components of the Ro ribonucleoprotein particle (Ro RNP), in association with Ro60 and La proteins. The record is from Rfam by way of RNAcentral. Lineage: Eukaryota; Metazoa; Chordata; Mammalia; Primates; Tarsiidae.